AAUGGCAUCAUUCUUUUAAUUAGAGAGCAAAAUAUAAAUGCUAGAAAGAAAGCAGCAUUCACUAGGAGAUUAAAUGUAAUUGCGGUAACUCACAAAGGAAAUGCUUGUUUAAAGCUUUAAUUUGCUAGCAAAAUAUGCUGCAGAAAAUAAUGCUUUUGAGGGAGGUAUGAAUUCAUCAAGCCAAGAAAAAUCUGAGUGUAAGACAGGAAUCAUAGAAUUAUUAAGGUUGGAAAAUACCUCUAAGAUCAUCGACUCCCAGCUGUAAACCCACCACUGCCAAGCCCACCACCGAGCCAUUCAUCAGAGUGCCACAUCUACACAUAACCACAUCAGUUGACCCACUUGGUCAUCUCUUCAGCAUGUGGUGGUUCAGUCACACUUCAUCUCCUCGAGUGAGGGCAGGGAUAGCCACCAGAACCACUCACCCAGCAAGUUGCAAAGAUUCUCAUUUGAGAUGCAAAAGGGGUGUUUUUACUUCCAAAGCUGAAGGACUUCCCUGCCCAGGAGCCAGUUCUUUGGCCAGCUGCCUGACUGAAAGAGGAGGAAUCUAUUUCAAUUAGUUUCAUUAAAAUUCUUUGUAUUACAGCAGCUUGGGAACAAGACAUUAGUGCUACUUCAAAAAUUCAGACAAGGGUACAGCAUAAAAUUAUAAGACUGUCAACAGACAAGAGGGUAGAAGAGCGCUGUAGGACUAAACUGCUGCUUGCUGGUCACAAAGAAUCAUUUCACACUAACAGUGGGAAUGAAAGUGUGUGAAAAUCCCCAUUGGGAUAAGGAAAGAGAGAAUCUGAGAAAGAAGAUUAGAUUGUGGUGGAGUAGGAAGCUAGUGUUUCCCUCCUUUGAAUUGUUUCAGCCACUUAUUAUUUGUUUCAAUACUUCUCUGUGAGCCACUAAUUGUCGCAGUGGGAUCUUUCUGCUUCAUUUCCUUCUCUUUGUGAGAGCAGGCGUCAACACUGCAAAGAGUUAGAAAUCUGCAGCCUAGUAUACAGAAGACAGUGUCCAAUUUGCAACAUGUCCAGCAUAGGUCAGUGGCAUGGUUAAGCCUUGGAAAGUGCCUUUUAUACAAGCAUUAAAUAUCUUUGGGAAAAAAUAUCACUAUUGCAAAACCCAGAAACAGAAAAAAAAGAAAUACAGUAGAUUUACAUGUUUUCUCGUCUGUUACUCUUGAAGCAGGAAGACUUAGUAGAAAGAGUACAUUUCACCAAAUUAAUAGUAGCUAACUCAGUUGCAGCCAAUGUAUCUUGAGCAGCAGUAAUAUUUUGUAGUUUAAACUCGAACUGUGUUCAGAAAAACCUGGUUUGUGUCCUCAUGUCCUCCAUUACUUUCUCCAGUGCUAGAUCAAGAGUUCCUGUCAGAUCCUUGCCUGAGAACAGUAGAGAUGCAUAAAAGUUCUUGAAUUAAUAAGUCAUAUUGCAGAAAUGGGAGAACAUGCCUGUUUUAAACUUGUACUUUGCACAUGAGGACAAGUUCCAGGAAUGGCAAUUCCCUGGGACCUGCAGCUGCUCUGGUCCCUGGUACCACUGCCUCCUUCUUAUGGAAAACCUCUCAACAGCACAGCAGGACAGGUUGACUUUCUAGCCAAACAAAAGAAGGACUUGCCCCUCCCUCCUCAAAACCGAGUAUUUCUCUUUGGUCACACUGAAGGACUCCUCCCUGUUCCAGAUAAGCACCAGCCAGGUCAUGUACAACUACACAGACCACAUCCUCUGCUCAGCAGUUGUCUUUAUGUGGACAUACUCUACUUUCUUCUAUUACCUUUUGCUAAUCACCAUCUUUAGUCCUUUAGAGCUAGUAUUAUGAAACAUGUGUCAAAUAACCUGCCUACACAUGUUUUCUGCAUAAGCCUUCCUUUCAAAACACAUUCACAGCAGAAAAUAUGCGUGAAAGAGAAGCAGAUUACACAGAUUUAGGUGAAGCAAAAAUAGACAUUUAGGAAAACCGGAGGGUCACUCAACUGAGUGACCUUUUUAGCUUGUGUUUCUUAUCUUUACUAUCUAAUAGCAAGACUGGAGACCUACAGCACACAUAUCAUGUGCUGUUUUACAUUUAUUUUCCUUUGGUGUUUCUCAAGUGUAUAAUUUAAACCUUCUUUCUUUUACUAUAUCUGUAACGACAACACAUUCUAAUAUUUACAAAUGGAGAGUGACUUGGCACAAUACUGGCUGAAGUCUGUCUGCCAUCAGAGAUGCAUUCUUCAAAUGGACCUGCCCACUGCAAGAGCUGGGAGAUCUGAACUGUUUGUUUAAAACCUAAUUUCCUCUCAAAAUAGCCAGGCACGGCUGUAGGUCUAUUGAAAACUGUUAAACAAUUGGAUAUGUAGACCAAAACAUUGGUUAAAACCCUUUUAGGGAACAGCUAGAUAUACCAGGACAAGUAGAAGGAAAAGGUGCCCAAGGUGUUCAGAAACAAGCAGCCAGAAAGCAAGGCACUGUGCUAGGCAGCAAGUCUUAAUCCUGCCAUGGAAAAAAGGUAACUAACUCUUGGAACUUAAAAAUAAUCAUGGAUAUCAGCAUUUUUCAUGGGUUAGAAACACAGAUUCUCAAUCACCAACAAACUUUGCCUAAGAUAUCUUGAUUUCCUUUAGAUGCAAAGGGAUAAUUAUAAAGACCUAUGAUUAAGACUGAGAACAUCCUACCUGACUGAGCAUUCUAGCUGAAGAGUACCUGUGAUUCAAAGAAUGGGAUAUGCUGAAGAAUAGCUACAAACACACCAUUCCCAAGAGAUGCUCCUACAUCAGGGAUUUAUCGACAGGAAAGCAUUAGUACCAGUUCUUGCAGUGCAAAUAUAUAUAUUGCUGCCUGCAAUACAUAAUGCAAACACAGUGCUGCCUGCUGCCAUGGGCAGAUGUGGCCAGAAGCUUCCAGUAAGAAGCUCUAAGGCAGGACAACCACCUCCAUUCAGCACCACAAAGACAGGGGGAAGAAGCCACAUGCCAGCCCUCCUUGCUCUGCACCUCCUCUCUCAUCACCAAUGUGUGCAUUCGUCCCCAUGCUGGAGCUCUGCAAACGAGCCUUCUAAGCAGUGUGAGAAUAACAGGAUGAUACUGAGGAAAUUGUUCUUGAGCAUGAGCUUUGACCCUUCUGGGCAGUGAAUAUGAACCACAUGGGCUGGACGAGCCCCGGGCACAUUACAUGCCUUUGUGAAGUUAUUUGCUGAUUCAGAGGUGUGAAACUCUAAAAAACACUGUGGAAGAAAUGGCACUGCUUGUGGUACUGAAAUAGCAUGGAUUCCUCCUGGGCUGUUACAACUUCAUAAAUAUUGACUUUGGAUAAACCUUCUAACAAUAUUCUGGUUGAGUUUUUUUUCUUCUUCUUCUUUUUCCUCCCAAGUGGGUUCCCAAAGCUAAUUUACUUAAGGCAAUGUACAUGACACAAGAAUAAGCCCUUUGACUAGUGAUGCAAUUGCUUGGUCAUGAAAUGAAAAAAAUCUGGAUUUUGAUUGAUAGUUUGAAUUCAUGCUGUUUGUUUGAUUUACUCCAGAUUCUUUGUCACCUCAGUGUUAUUCCUGCCAACACAUGUCAGAACACAACUGAUUAUGAGCUGAAAUACUCUUUUAAAGGGCUUUUUAAAAAUUUUAGACUUAUCAAUUUUCCUUCCCCUUCCACAGGAGCAAUGCAAAUUUAGCCAUUAAUUUUUUUUUUCUUAAAGAAAAUCUCAGCUACAACUAACCUCAUGUAAUGCCUUUUUCUUUUCUCAUCUGCAGUAGUAUGAAAAUGAAAACAGCAUAAUUUAGUUCUAUAAAAAAUUCCUCUGCAGCACAUUAGAAGUACAUCUAAUAUACUUUAGGCAAGUACUAUUAUUUUUCACUCUGUGGCAUGAUUGUAAUUGCUCUAGUCCACUGCUCUACCAGUUGGCAGUCAGAACUGUCACCAGCACACAUUUCUCUCAGUGUUAAGCACAGGAAAGGCCUGAUCCAGUACAAAAGUAUCAGGAUGCCACCUGUCAGUGAAGGUAAGUACAUGGAGGAGGUGAUUGUUUCCUUGCUUUGGAGGCAAAAUAAGACAUUUCUUCCGCUAGAAAAGCUCUUCAGUGUUAAACAUUCCUAUGGUUAGCCUGAAUCAGGCCCAAGUUUAUGUCUUUUAUUCUCAACAGAACAGGUUGGGAGAAGAACCAAGAAAAUAAUGAGAGUAGACUGUAACUACAUCUGAGAAGACAGGAGCUUAAAUACAAUUUAAUGCACUUCACUAUACUUGCCCUUGGCAGUGGCAGGUAGAGCUGGGUAGACUCCAGCAAUAUUUCCAGGAAUGCAAAUCAAGUAUUAAUAUCUAAGUUUUACUCCUCGUUUCUUGCCCCUUUAUUCCAGUAUGCACACUGCCCCUAUGUCAGACAUACACACACAGACUGAACUCGCACAUCUAGCUUGGAAUAGAGGUUGUUUCCAGAAAGUUUUUCUCUUUAACAUUACCUUCUUUCUUGAUUUACUGAUUCUUGGCUGAACUUAAAAUUACCUGAAAACCAUUGCCCCUGAGAAAAUCUUUACUCAAGUACUUGCUGAAAGUGUAACCUGAAGAACAACAUCCAGAGAUCCAGGCUCUGUGCUGUGGCUCUGAUCAGACACUUGAAAGCAAGUCAUUGGCAGGAACACUCCUAUCAGCUUCUUCUCAUGCUGUCUGCUGGCAAGUUGAUGUUAAUAGUUUAACAUUUGUAUCAGCAACACAAUCAGGAUAUUAAUUUGAAGCAGAAGAGAGUUGUUU
Molecule: long non-coding RNA, 4693 nt
Organism: Taeniopygia guttata (zebra finch)
Lineage: Eukaryota; Metazoa; Chordata; Aves; Passeriformes; Estrildidae
Source: Ensembl